RNAcentral lists this ribosomal RNA (448 nucleotides) under uncultured Gammaproteobacteria bacterium. RNAcentral describes it as "bacterial SSU rRNA". It matches the Rfam family "Bacterial small subunit ribosomal RNA", at positions 547 to 996 of the family's 1533-position model. The record is from RNAcentral. Lineage: Bacteria; Pseudomonadati; Pseudomonadota; Gammaproteobacteria.
GGAUUCUGGGCGUAAGCGUGCGUAGGCGGUUAUUUAAGUCAGAUGUGAAAGCCCCGUUUAAAACCUGGGAACUGCAUUUGAUACUGGGUAACUACCGUUGAGUAGAGGAGAGGGGAAUUUCAGGUGUAGCGGUGAAAUGCGUAGAGAUCUGAAGGAACACCAGUGGCGAAGGCGCCUCUCUGGACUCAAACUGACGCUGAGGUACGAAAGCGUGGGUAGCAAACAGGAUUAGAUACCCUGGUAGUCCACGCCGUAAACGAUGUCAACUAGCCGUUGGUCUUAUUCGUAAGAUUAGUGGCGCAGCUAACGCAUUAAGUUGACCGCCUGGGGAGUACGGCCGCAAGGUUAAAACUCAAAUGAAUUGACGGGGGCCCGCACAAGCGGUGGAGCAUGUGGUUUAAUUCGAUGCAACGCGAAGAACCUUACCUACCCUUGACAUCCAUAGAAU